Molecule: ribosomal RNA, 301 nt
Filed under: uncultured bacterium
Lineage: Bacteria
Description: bacterial SSU rRNA
Rfam family: Bacterial small subunit ribosomal RNA
Source: RNAcentral
AGAGUUUGAUCAUGGCUCAGGACGAACGCUGGCGGCGUGCUUAACACAUGCAAGUCGAACGGAGCACCCUUGACUGAGGUUUCGGCCAAAUGAUAGGAAUGCUUAGUGGCGGACUGGUGAGUAACGCGUGAGGAACCUGCCUUCCAGAGGGGGACAACAGUUGGAAACGACUGCUAAUACCGCAUGAUAUAUUUGAGGGGCAUCCCUUGGAUAUCAAAGAUUAUAUCGCUGGAAGAUGGCCUCGCGUCUGAUUAGCUAGUAGGCGGGGUAACGGCCCACCUAGGCGACGAUCAGUAGCCGG